RNAcentral lists this transfer RNA (48 nucleotides) under Vaucheria litorea. RNAcentral describes it as "partial Selenocysteine transfer RNA". The record is from RNAcentral. Lineage: Eukaryota; Xanthophyceae; Vaucheriales; Vaucheriaceae.
GGAUAUCCUGUCCGACGAGGCUUCGAUGCUGGUCGGCUCCUUGGGAAU